GCCCGGGUAGCUCAAUUGGCAGAGCAUCGGCUUUGUAAGCCGGCGGCUGCGGGUUCGAGUCCCGCCCCGGGCU
Molecule: transfer RNA, 73 nt
Filed under: Actinomycetota bacterium
Lineage: Bacteria; Bacillati; Actinomycetota
Description: tRNA-Thr
Rfam family: tRNA
About the family: Transfer RNA (tRNA) molecules are approximately 80 nucleotides in length. Their secondary structure includes four short double-helical elements and three loops (D, anti-codon, and T loops). Further hydrogen bonds mediate the characteristic L-shaped molecular structure. tRNAs have two regions of fundamental functional importance: the anti-codon, which is responsible for specific mRNA codon recognition, and the 3' end, to which the tRNAs corresponding amino acid is attached (by aminoacyl-tRNA synthetases). tRNAs cope with the degeneracy of the genetic code in two manners: having more than one tRNA (with a specific anti-codon) for a particular amino acid; and 'wobble' base-pairing, i.e. permitting non-standard base-pairing at the 3rd anti-codon position.
Source: RNAcentral